Molecule: long non-coding RNA, 2817 nt
Organism: Scylla paramamosain (green mud crab)
Lineage: Eukaryota; Metazoa; Arthropoda; Malacostraca; Decapoda; Portunidae
Exons: 2
Source: RefSeq, a predicted model, not a curated record
GAAAGCGUAGCUGAAGGAAGGGAAACGAAAAAAACGUCACAUUUUCAAGCCAAGGCGUACCUUAAAGCGACUCCCUACGUGACUCCAUAGUGCAAGAGACCAGUGGCUUAAAUAUUAUAGGAUUUUCUUUCUUAUAAUUAUUUUACCGCUCAUCUGUGGCCCUUUCUCGUAUUUUUCCCAUUAUUGAUUUCUCAUGUUCUUAUUUUGCAAUGCCUUAGCUGUAAAUGAUGAAGCAAUCCAAUUAUAUACAUGAAUUUGUGUCACUUGAAGCGAACCUACAUGACCCACCAAGAGACCGCGGGCUUAUAUAUUCUAGGAUUUUCUUUCUUAUAAUUAUUUGAGCGCUCAUCUCUGGUCUUUUUCGUAUUUUUUCCAGCAUUAAUUUCUCAUGUUCUUAUUUUGCAAUGCCUUAGCUGUUAUUAUAUUAAAGUAUUAUUUAUCUACAUAUGAGUAUUACUGUAAAUGUGUGCCAUUCGAAAGAAGUAUGUGCUCAUAUGUAAACAAGACCUGACAACAACAAUUUAAACUCCAUGGACCCAACUCCAAACACUCAGGAGGAACCAAACUUGUCAAAUGAUGAAACAGUGCGUUUGGUUAACAUCAUGGCAUAAAAACAAUGUAUAAUAAAGGGACGGUUUCACGCUUCCCUGACCCAUGCAGAUAAGAAACCUGCAUGGGAAGACCUUAUGAACUGUAAAUGCAUGCCUGCAAUUUACAUGUGAAAAGAACUGAAGAACAAGUUGUAAACUUGUCAAGUGCUGUCCCACUCACGGAAGAAGAUUGCCAAUAUCAACAAAGAGCAGAAUCAAUCAGAACGACUGUACGAGCUCCGCAAGACAAGCCUGGCCCGGGUGAUCUGCGACAACAGUGAACGCAAGCUACGGUACGUCCAGCCCAAAGUAAUGCUGGAGGCCGACUCUUUCCUGUAAGUAAUAAUGCCUUGUCACUGUUGCCAUUGCUAUUUAGUGACCCAAGGAGUGAAUGAAUAUGAAUAAGAAAACUUUUGAAGAUAGGCUAGUAUGUCUAACCUCACCAUUCUUCCCCUCAUGGACUUAACCAAUUUAACCACUCACUUUCUUAUCUAGGGCCUCGUGUAUGGAACUCUGUGCCUCUCCAAAUUCAGGAUGUACCCUCUAUCACCACAUUUAAAACAAAAUUUUAAAAUCUGAUCUUAGCUACCUACUAAUUUGAAUUAUUACCUCAUUCUAAAGCAAUAGUGUAUCCAGACUCUUCUUCUUAUCAUAUCUACCACACUACUUUAAACCUCUGCUUUAAAAAGGCUAACUACAACAGACACAUUAAACCUCACUAUGUAUAUAUCUCCUAAAUGUAACUGUUAGUUAUUAAUAAAUGUUCAAAUGUUCUCUCUCUGUUUCCUUAUUUUAAAGCAGAUGAAAAAGGAGCCACUGAGGUGCUGGUCCUUAACCACAAAUAAAAAUAACAAGAAGCAUCGGCCAAGAAGAGAUUACGCGUGGAAAGAGGAAGGAUUGGGGCUCAGCUCACGGCAACAGCACCCGUGUGUGCGUUCUUGGGCCGUUCCGGAUCUGUGGACUUCCGGCGAGCAAAUCCCUUCUUUUAAAGCUUGGUGUUGACUGACCUCUGACAACCUGACUGGUGGUGAGUCCAUUCCAGACUAUUCCAGUCACCCACCACUCUUUCUGACAACCAAUUCCUCCAUACCUAACUGUCACAAGCCUCACUCCACUACCACACAGGGUCAAGCAGAGGUCACUACGAGGGUAAAGGUCAAUUUUAAGGCCGUAUAAUUUCAAAGUAUAAUCACAGAGUACCACAAUAAAAAUACAAACACAAUCUCUUCAAAUCAUAAUGGGUGAACAAACUCACACACACACACACACACACACACACACACACACACACACACACACACACACAAGCCAGACAUGAACAACACCACCACUGGUCAUUGCUUGUUUGAGAGCAGAGAUAAAAUACUGGACAACUUCUUGACUUGGUAAUGCUGUGUCCACCAUCUGAGGUCCAUUCCUGCAGUCACCGACAGCUGCACUCAGCUAAGUGGAGGAAAGGAAAGUCUGAGUGUGAUGCAGGUGGUGGUGGUGGUGGUGGUGGUGGUGGUGGUGGUGUGGUGUGGUGUGGUAUAUUGGUGUUGAUAGAUGAAAAGAAUUAAAGUCAAAGGAAAUUAUCAGAAAAAAUAAGAGAAGAAGAGAAUGUGGAAGAUCUGAGAGACACAACAAGCACAACAGACCAUUCAGGGCAAGACAGAACAAAAGGUGUUUUACUGACUAUACAACAAGCAUGACAGACACAGGACAAUGGAGGACAGGCAAGUCUACCCCUUGAAGCACAGCAACGCAGAACAAGGAAAAAAAAGCACAACAGCUUCUCAGUCAGGACAAAACAGAAGAACAGCACACCAUUUCUUCCUCUGUGCCAGAAAACAUUGUAAAGCAGCCACGUUUCAGACCAGGCCAGGCACAGAUGUACUGAACCAAUAGCAAACCACAGACACACACAAGCCAACUAACACACAAACACACAAACAUAUAUUAUUUAGAGCCAUGCACAUAAACAAACACAAAUAUUAAGUUAUGUUGCUUGAAUUUUUUUUUUUUUAGGCAUGCAAUAAAAUUAUUAAAGAUGCUGUUUGCAAAAUACUAAGCACAAUGUAACUAUACACAAAAAUUUAUGAUGCAUUGGUUAAGACCUGUAGUGUGUGUGUGUGUGUGUGUGUGUGUGUGUGUGUGUGUGUGUGUGUGUUUGUAAUUACUUUGAAUAUAACUUUAUGUCAAACUUCAUUGAAUUCACCAAAUAAAUAAAUAUUCAUAAAAUAUCAAA